RNAcentral lists this unclassified non-coding RNA (349 nucleotides) under fungal sp. Its description in RNAcentral is "partial internal transcribed spacer region". The stretch from base 1 to 44 matches the Rfam family "Eukaryotic small subunit ribosomal RNA", at positions 1788 to 1831 of the family's 1831-position model. The record is from RNAcentral. Lineage: Eukaryota; Fungi.
GUCGUAACAAGGUUUCCGUAGGUGAACCUGCGGAAGGAUCAUUACCACACCUCUUUUUACUUUAACUGAUAAUAUUUCAUUUCUUCGGGAGUUUAAUAAUAUUGGUUAUCGGAAAAAAACAAGAGAAAGAUGAGGGUUUCAUUACCCAAGUCCGACUUUUGCGUCCCACGGAACUAACUUAAAAUUUGUGGUGUCUUCGGAUGCCCAUUUUUAAACCCAACACAUGAAUUACAUUUCAAAUGUAUCUGAUUAUGAAUUUCAAUAAUUAGGAGUUAGUGAGUUUAUUCUCCCUAAUGACUAUAACAAUUAAUGAAAAAACACUUUCAGCAACGGAUGUCUUGGCUCCCAU